GGGUUGUGAGGUUAAGCGACUAAGCGUACACGGUGGAUGCCCUGGCAGUCAGAGGCGAUGAAGGACGUGCUAAUCUGCGAUAAGCGCCGGUAAGGUGAUAUGAACCGUUAUAACCGGCGAUUUCCGAAUGGGGAAACCCAGUGUGACUCGUCACACUAUCAUUAACUGAAUCCAUAGGUUAAUGAGGCGAACCGGGGGAACUGAAACAUCUAAGUACCCCGAGGAAAAGAAAUCAACCGAGAUUCCCCCAGUAGCGGCGAGCGAACGGGGAGGAGCCCAGAGCCUGAAUCAGCAUGUGUGUUAGUGGAAGCGUCUGGAAAGGCGCGCGAUACAGGGUGACAGCCCCGUACACAAAAGCGCAUGUGCUGUGAGCUCGAUGAGUAGGGCGGGACACGUGGUAUCCUGUCUGAAUAUGGGGGGACCAUCCUCCAAGGCUAAAUACUCCUGACUGACCGAUAGUGAACCAGUACCGUGAGGGAAAGGCGAAAAGAACCCCGGCGAGGGGAGUGAAAAAGAACCUGAAACCGUGUACGUACAAGCAGUGGGAGCACCCUUUGGGGUGUGACUGCGUACCUUUUGUAUAAUGGGUCAGCGACUUAUAUUCUGUAGCAAGGUUAACCGAAUAGGGGAGCCGGAGGGAAACCGAGUCUUAAUUGGGCGUUAAGUUG
This 668-nucleotide ribosomal RNA is filed under the name Salmonella enterica. RNAcentral's name for it is "partial 23S ribosomal RNA". It matches the Rfam family "Bacterial large subunit ribosomal RNA", at positions 1 to 702 of the family's 2925-position model. The record is from RNAcentral. Lineage: Bacteria; Pseudomonadati; Pseudomonadota; Gammaproteobacteria; Enterobacterales; Enterobacteriaceae.